Long non-coding RNA from Gopherus flavomarginatus (Mexican gopher tortoise), 1116 nucleotides. RefSeq lists it as uncharacterized. NCBI's taxonomy places the organism in Eukaryota, Metazoa, Chordata, Testudines, Testudinidae. The transcript has 2 exons. The record is from RefSeq and is a predicted model, not a curated record.
AUAAAAGGGCUGCCACGCCGGCUGACGGGGCGCCUUCCUGAGCAAACAAGCUGUCUGUGUCUGGUUCCUUCCCGCAUCUGGUGACCCCGACGUGAUACCAGCCCUCCGUACCCACCGGCUGGCCAAGCCGUGGUGCACCUCAGUGCGUAGUCGCGCACUCCCUCUCGGCUGCCACAGGCAGCCGACCUGGACUGGAAUCUCUGAAAGAGACGCCGCAGGAGAUUCCAGGGUGUAAGAGAACAGCCCUCCCAAGAGCAGAAGCAUGUUGGAAAUUCUGGACGAGCUGUAUACAGGAUAAUCUCCCUUCCACCUCUCCCCCUCCUCUGAACAUUAUACACAGAAGUGGCCAGUCGGGACGUACCUGUGUAAGUAUAAAAGGAGCUUCGGGCUUGGGGCAUUAAUAUUUUCCUGAGUGAUGUGGGAGCGUUCCCAACACUCUCCAUUGUUGUUUUAUUAUUUUAUUACUGAAGCUUUAAAAUUCAGUCAUAUGGUGUGUUUUCUUUAUCUUCCCCCAGCGAUCCUGUAGUGUCAGCCUGAUCACCUGACACGAGGGAUAGAUUGGUAACAGAAAUUUGUCACAGUUUGGUGAGCAAUUAAGAAAGGGGGAGCACUGCAGAAUUUACACCAUCUAUUUGUUUUACCCUUGUUAUUUUGUGUUUGCUUUGCUUGGUACUGUUGGUGCUAUAUGUUGAGAAUUGCAUGAGUAAAAGUAUGCCUUAAUAGGAUAAGAAAAUGCUAUUUGGUUUUGGUUCUGUUCUGUUUAACCGGUUACUGUUGUUUUUCUGCUCUGUAUACAUUUGGGCGUUGGGAGUGUGGGCGGAACUGAACCUCUCGUUCGUAAUUCCUUGGAGUGGAAGCCAUGAGUGCGAGGAAGCUCUGAGGUUGAAUUGAGAUCCUUCUGUCCCGUCCCCUGUAGCGGACAGUGUAUAGAAGUGGGAAAGUCUGACUUAGACUGUAAUUCCCUCUGCGCUCUGUGUAAUUUCUUUUUUCUGUUUAAGUGUCAGCAGACGGAUGGGUGGACUCUAGGUAAACUCUCUAAAGGGGUUUGGAUUUUUGUCCAGGUGGCAAGCCUCAUGAAGGAGGACUCGGGUAGUCUUGUGAGUAAGAAGGUUUAAG